RNAcentral lists this ribosomal RNA (253 nucleotides) under uncultured bacterium. Its description in RNAcentral is "partial 16S ribosomal RNA". It matches the Rfam family "Bacterial small subunit ribosomal RNA", at positions 524 to 776 of the family's 1533-position model. The record is from RNAcentral.
UACAGAGGGUGCAAGCGUUAAUCGGAAUUACUGGGCGUAAAGCGUACGUAGGUUGUUUUUUAAGUUGGCUGUGAAAGCCCCGGGCUUAACCUGGGCGGGCCAGCCGAUACUGGGAGACUAGAGUACAGUAGAGGGUAGUGGAAUUUCCGGUGUAGCGGUGAAAUGCGUAGAUAUCGGAAGGAACACCAGUGGCGAAGGCGGCUACCUGGACUGAUACUGACACUGAGGUACGACAGCAUGGGGAGCAAACAGG